CGCGUGGGUAAUCUACCUCCGAGUGGGGAACAACACCGGGAAACUGGUGCUAAUACCGCAUGACAUCCCAGGGUCUUCGGAUCUUGGGAUCAAAGCCGGGGACCGCAAGGCCUGGCGCUUGGAGAUGAGCCCGCGUCCGAUUAGCUAGUUGGCGGGGUAAUGGCCCACCAAGGCUCCGAUCGGUAGCCGGCCUGAGAGGGCGGACGGCCACACUGGGACUGAGACACGGGCCCAGACUCCUACGGGAGGCAGCAGUGGGGAAUUUUUCGCAAUGGGGGAAACCCUGACGAAGCAACGCCG
This 300-nucleotide ribosomal RNA is filed under the name uncultured Acidobacteriota bacterium. RNAcentral's name for it is "bacterial SSU rRNA". It matches the Rfam family "Bacterial small subunit ribosomal RNA", at positions 114 to 399 of the family's 1533-position model. The record is from RNAcentral. Lineage: Bacteria; Pseudomonadati; Acidobacteriota.